RNAcentral lists this ribosomal RNA (327 nucleotides) under uncultured eukaryote. RNAcentral's name for it is "partial 18S ribosomal RNA". It matches the Rfam family "Eukaryotic small subunit ribosomal RNA", at positions 1470 to 1796 of the family's 1831-position model. The record is from RNAcentral.
CCCUUAGAUGUUCUGGGCCGCACGCGCGCUACACUGACGAAUGCAACGAGCUUAUAACCUUGGCCGAAAGGUCUGGGUAAUCUCCAAAUUUCGUCGUGAUGGGGAUAGAUUAUUGCAAUUAUUAAUCUUCAACGAGGAAUGCCUAGUAAGCGCAAGUCAUCAGCUUGCGUUGAUUACGUCCCUGCCCUUUGUACACACCGCCCGUCGCUCCUACCGAUUGAAUGGUCCGGUGAAGCGUUCGGACCGUGGCCUUUGGACGGUUCGCCGUCUGUUGGCUGCGGGAAGUUCGUUAAACCUUAUCAUUUUGAGGAAGGAGAAGUCGUAACA